Molecule: ribosomal RNA, 460 nt
Filed under: uncultured bacterium
Lineage: Bacteria
Description: partial 16S ribosomal RNA
Rfam family: Bacterial small subunit ribosomal RNA
Source: RNAcentral
CCUACGGGUGGCAGCAGUGAGGAAUAUUGGUCAAUGGACGCAAGUCUGAACCAGCCAUGCCGCGUGCAGGAAGACGGCUCUAUGAGUUGUAAACUGCUUUUGUACGAGGGUAAACGCAGAUACGCGUAUCUGUCUGAAAGUAUCGUACGAAUAAGGAUCGGCUAACUCCGUGCCAGCAGCCGCGGUAAUACGGAGGAUUCAAGCGUUAUCCGGAUUUAUUGGGUUUAAAGGGUGCGUAGGCGGUCGGAUAAGUUAGAGGUGAAAUCCCGAGGCUCAACUUCGGAAUUGCCUCUGAUACUGUUCGGCGAGAGUGUAGUUGCGGUAGGCGGAAUGUAUGGUGUAGCGGUGAAAUGCUUAGAGAUCAGACAGAACACCGAUUGCGAAGGCAGCUUACCAAGCUACUUCUGACGUUGAGGCACGAAAGCGUGGGGAGCAAACAGGAUUAGAUACCCGAGUAGUC